This 488-nucleotide small RNA is filed under the name uncultured Gigaspora. RNAcentral describes it as "SSU rRNA". It matches the Rfam family "Eukaryotic small subunit ribosomal RNA", at positions 569 to 1065 of the family's 1831-position model. Lineage: Eukaryota; Fungi; Glomeromycota; Glomeromycetes; Diversisporales; Gigasporaceae. The record is from RNAcentral.
AGCAGCCGCGGUAAUUCCAGCUCCAAUAGCGUAUAUUAAAGUUGUUGCAGUUAAAAAGCUCGUAGUUGAAUUUCGGGGUUCUACCGUUGGUCGGGCUAUAGUCUGUACUGGCGUGUGGAAUUUCUACCUUCUGGGGAACUAUCAUGUUAUUAAUUUAGCGUGGUAGGAAACCAGAACCUUUACCUUGAAAAAUUAGAGUGUUCAAAGCAGGCUUACGUCUGAAUACAUUAGCAUGGAAUAAUAAAAUAGGACGGUGGUCCUGUUUUGUUGGUUUCUGAAUCACCGUAAUGAUUAAUAGGGAUAGUUGGGGGCAUUAGUAUUCAAUUGUCAGAGGUGAAAUUCUUGGAUUUAUUGAAGACUAACUUCUGCGAAAGCAUUUGCCAAGGAUGUUUUCAUUAAUCAAGAACGAAAGUUAGGGGAUCGAAGACGAUCAGAUACCGUCGUAGUCUUAACCAUAAACUAUGCCGACUAGGAAUCGGACGAUGUUA